RNAcentral lists this long non-coding RNA (410 nucleotides) under Panax ginseng (ginseng). Its description in RNAcentral is "long non-coding RNA (PGIN_LNC016808)". Lineage: Eukaryota; Viridiplantae; Streptophyta; Magnoliopsida; Apiales; Araliaceae. The record is from RNAcentral.
CUACCAAUCCCCAAAAAUCCGGCCAACCACUCCAUAAUUAUCAUGUGAGCUCAAUUAUACCAACCAAAUCAGCAUCCAAAGCAUCUAGCAUGGCCUAUAAAUAGAGAUCAAGGAGAUUGAAUGAAAACACACACUAAUAUUUUCUAAACUCUCUAGCCACACUCUCUCAACCUCUAGCCAACGAAAUUAUCUUACCCAUAAGCUCAUAAUCAAAGACCAACCAUCACAAACCACAAAUCAGAAGCGUCAAGAAGCCAGAAAUCAAAAAUCAAGCUUGAAAAGGUAGGAAAUCCUAAAUUCUAGAAAUCCUUCGAUUCGAUGUUAAUUGAUGCAAUUGAUUGUUUAAAGUUGUGUAAUAGAGAGUCUAUUAAUGUUCUGGAUUGUUAAAUUCAUGACCCAUAACAUCAAAG